Mobula hypostoma (lesser devil ray) is the source of this 77-nucleotide small nucleolar RNA. The record is from RefSeq and is a predicted model, not a curated record. NCBI's taxonomy places the organism in Eukaryota, Metazoa, Chordata, Chondrichthyes, Myliobatiformes, Myliobatidae.
CGAGUGUCUGUGAGGACAAUUUUCUGCGGUUUCCGAAUUCACAUUGUGGAGAUUUACCUUGGAGAACUGAGCACUCG